UGAGAGAAAAAAUUGACAACUCUUAUUACUUUAAUUAGUAGCAAUACAAUGUGCAUAAAUAGCUAGUUCAUUACAUUGGAAGAACACAAAAAAUAACUUGUUCUAGUAUCCAAGCUGUAAAAUCAGCUUAAUGAUAAGUUAAGAAGCUACUAAAUCAGCUAAGUAGCUGACUAACCUUAGCAAAAACAAAAUUACAAUCAGACAAGACUUAGUUUACAUAUUACAAAAAAAUUCAAACAUCCAAAUUACACAUUGCAAAUUUCCUUGCUGCUAACUUUCAACACAUCAUCAUACAUUGAUUAAUUUACAUGAAUCAACAACCACGUAGUGAAAUUGGACCUUUCACUUUCUUUGGGGUAUCUUGGAUUCAUAAUAUAGAGAAAUAAUUUUAGACAAACCAACACACAAACCCUUAUCCCAGACUUCAUCUAUGGGUUAUUUUGAUCUCUAGCUGCUCACUACAUAAUUAAACAUAUGGAAGAGACAAGACUAUAAUAAUCUAAGCGGUUUAAGAGUGAGAAGACAAGGUCUUGCCAAAAUCUUUUAAAAUCUUCUUCAUCACACUUCCCCUCUGUGGUGGCUUCAUUGGUGGGUCGCUAAUGGGUGUCUGAGGCGUUUUCGGCGGCCUGCUGUUACUGCUUCCAGGAUCUCUACAACUUCCAUCAUCUCCACUGCGGCUGCCGCCUUGGCUGUUGCCUUCACUCAUCCUCUGAUCUCUACUUGAUUAACAAAAGAGCAGGAACAAUGAAUGGAGUUUGAAAGGAAAGAUGAAGUGGGAAAAAUGGGAGGCCUUUUAAUGUUGGAUUUAUGGGUCUUAAGCGUUCAACGACAAACCCAGCUGCACAAGGGCAUGCGCAUGUUUACUUUACUGGUAUGGCCCCCGCAUCCUAUGCGUUCUUUUUUUUUUUUUUUUUU
RNAcentral lists this long non-coding RNA (915 nucleotides) under Gossypium barbadense (sea-island cotton). Its description in RNAcentral is "long non-coding RNA (GBAR_LNC001496)". The record is from RNAcentral. Lineage: Eukaryota; Viridiplantae; Streptophyta; Magnoliopsida; Malvales; Malvaceae.